RNAcentral lists this ribosomal RNA (363 nucleotides) under Triticum aestivum (bread wheat). Its description in RNAcentral is "partial small subunit ribosomal RNA". Lineage: Eukaryota; Viridiplantae; Streptophyta; Magnoliopsida; Poales; Poaceae. The record is from RNAcentral.
AUGAACGAUGCACUUAUGCUGCGUUGGGUUUGGCGGAUCUUGCGGGGAGAUGGAGGUUUCUGGCUGCAGCUGAUUGAGUCCAAGUACUUGCAGGGACAACCCCUCCUGGCUUGCUCUCACUCAGCUAGGUCCCAGUUCUGGAAAUCUAUUCAGGCCAUCAAGGAAGAGAUUAGGCUGGGUUUGCAUUUCUAGGUUGGCAAUGGGGCUGGGACCCAGCUUUGGUUGGACCCCUGGAUGGAGGGCGAGCCUCACCGCUUGCGUUCCCGAGGCUCUUUGCGAUUUGUGAUGACCCAGCCAUCCUUGUUUCUGUGGCUGCUUUGGAUGACGGAUGGUGAUGUCUACUACGCAACCUUAUCCUUGUAG